This 68-nucleotide transfer RNA is filed under the name Xenostrobus securis. Its description in RNAcentral is "tRNA-Glu". The record is from RNAcentral. Lineage: Eukaryota; Metazoa; Mollusca; Bivalvia; Mytilida; Modiolidae.
GUUUAUGUAGUGUAUACAGCACGCUAGGUUUUCAUCCUAUAAGAAGGUUGGGUUUUGCCUCCUAAAUU